AUUGAACGCUGGCGGCAGGCCUAACACAUGCAAGUCGAGCGGAUGAAGGGAGCUUGCUCCUGGAUUCAGCGGCGGACGGGUGAGUAAUGCCUAGGAAUCUGCCUGGUAGUGGGGGAUAACGUCCGGAAACGGGCGCUAAUGCCGCAUACGUCCUGCGGGAGAAAGUGGGGGAUCUUCGGACCUCACGCUAUCAGAUGAGCCUAGGUCGGAUUAGCUAGUUGGUGGGGUAAAGGCCUACCAAGGCGACGAUCCGUAACUGGUCUGAGAGGAUGAUCAGUCACACUGGAACUGAGACACGGUCCAGACUCCUACGGGAGGCAGCAGUGGGGAAUAUUGGACAAUGGGCGAAAGCCUGAUCCAGCCAUGCCGCGUGUGUGAAGAAGGUCUUCGGAUUGUAAAGCACUUUAAGUUGGGAGGAAGGGCAGUAAGUUAAUACCUUGCUGUUUUGACGUUACCAACAGAAUAAGCACCGGCUAACUUCGUG
This 484-nucleotide ribosomal RNA is filed under the name uncultured bacterium. RNAcentral describes it as "partial 16S ribosomal RNA". It matches the Rfam family "Bacterial small subunit ribosomal RNA", at positions 30 to 507 of the family's 1533-position model. The record is from RNAcentral.